Molecule: ribosomal RNA, 2360 nt
Filed under: Staphylococcus aureus
Lineage: Bacteria; Bacillati; Bacillota; Bacilli; Caryophanales; Staphylococcaceae
Description: partial 23S ribosomal RNA
Rfam family: Bacterial large subunit ribosomal RNA
Source: RNAcentral
GACCAUCUCCUAAGGCUAAAUACUCUCUAGUGACCGAUAGUGAACCAGUACCGUGAGGGAAAGGUGAAAAGCACCCCGGAAGGGGAGUGAAAUAGAACCUGAAACCGUGUGCUUACAAGUAGUCAGAGCCCGUUAAUGGGUGAUGGCGUGCCUUUUGUAGAAUGAACCGGCGAGUUACGAUUUGAUGCAAGGUUAAGCAGUAAAUGUGGAGCCGUAGCGAAAGCGAGUCUGAAUAGGGCGUUUAGUAUUUGGUCGUAGACCCGAAACCAGGUGAUCUACCCUUGGUCAGGUUGAAGUUCAGGUAACACUGAAUGGAGGACCGAACCGACUUACGUUGAAAAGUGAGCGGAUGAACUGAGGGUAGCGGAGAAAUUCCAAUCGAACCUGGAGAUAGCUGGUUCUCUCCGAAAUAGCUUUAGGGCUAGCCUCAAGUGAUGAUUAUUGGAGGUAGAGCACUGUUUGGACGAGGGGCCCCUCUCGGGUUACCGAAUUCAGACAAACUCCGAAUGCCAAUUAAUUUAACUUGGGAGUCAGAACAUGGGUGAUAAGGUCCGUGUUCGAAAGGGAAACAGCCCAGACCACCAGCUAAGGUCCCAAAAUAUAUGUUAAGUGGAAAAGGAUGUGGCGUUGCCCAGACAACUAGGAUGUUGGCUUAGAAGCAGCCAUCAUUUAAAGAGUGCGUAAUAGCUCACUAGUCGAGUGACACUGCGCCGAAAAUGUACCGGGGCUAAACAUAUUACCGAAGCUGUGGAUUGUCCUUUGGACAAUGGUAGGAGAGCGUUCUAAGGGCGUUGAAGCAUGAUCGUAAGAACAUGUGGAGCGCUUAGAAGUGAGAAUGCCGGUGUGAGUAGCGAAAGACGGGUGAGAAUCCCGUCCACCGAUUGACUAAGGUUUCCAGAGGAAGGCUCGUCCGCUCUGGGUUAGUCGGGUCCUAAGCUGAGGCCGACAGGCGUAGGCGAUGGAUAACAGGUUGAUAUUCCUGUACCACCUAUAAUCGUUUUAAUCGAUGGGGGGACGCAGUAGGAUAGGCGAAGCGUGCGAUUGGAUUGCACGUCUAAGCAGUAAGGCUGAGUAUUAGGCAAAUCCGGUACUCGUUAAGGCUGAGCUGUGAUGGGGAGAAGACAUUGUGUCUUCGAGUCGUUGAUUUCACACUGCCGAGAAAAGCCUCUAGAUAGAAAAUAGGUGCCCGUACCGCAAACCGACACAGGUAGUCAAGAUGAGAAUUCUAAGGUGAGCGAGCGAACUCUCGUUAAGGAACUCGGCAAAAUGACCCCGUAACUUCGGGAGAAGGGGUGCUCUUUAGGGUUAACGCCCAGAAGAGCCGCAGUGAAUAGGCCCAAGCGACUGUUUAUCAAAAACACAGGUCUCUGCUAAACCGUAAGGUGAUGUAUAGGGGCUGACGCCUGCCCGGUGCUGGAAGGUUAAGAGGAGUGGUUAGCUUCUGCGAAGCUACGAAUCGAAGCCCCAGUAAACGGCGGCCGUAACUAUAACGGUCCUAAGGUAGCGAAAUUCCUUGUCGGGUAAGUUCCGACCCGCACGAAAGGCGUAACGAUUUGGGCACUGUCUCAACGAGAGACUCGGUGAAAUCAUAGUACCUGUGAAGAUGCAGGUUACCCGCGACAGGACGGAAAGACCCCGUGGAGCUUUACUGUAGCCUGAUAUUGAAAUUCGGCACAGCUUGUACAGGAUAGGUAGGAGCCUUUGAAACGUGAGCGCUAGCUUACGUGGAGGCGCUGGUGGGAUACUACCCUAGCUGUGUUGGCUUUCUAACCCGCACCACUUAUCGUGGUGGGAGACAGUGUCAGGCGGGCAGUUUGACUGGGGCGGUCGCCUCCUAAAAGGUAACGGAGGCGCUCAAAGGUUCCCUCAGAAUGGUUGGAAAUCAUUCAUAGAGUGUAAAGGCAUAAGGGAGCUUGACUGCGAGACCUACAAGUCGAGCAGGGUCGAAAGACGGACUUAGUGAUCCGGUGGUUCCGCAUGGAAGGGCCAUCGCUCAACGGAUAAAAGCUACCCCGGGGAUAACAGGCUUAUCUCCCCCAAGAGUUCACAUCGACGGGGAGGUUUGGCACCUCGAUGUCGGCUCAUCGCAUCCUGGGGCUGUAGUCGGUCCCAAGGGUUGGGCUGUUCGCCCAUUAAAGCGGUACGCGAGCUGGGUUCAGAACGUCGUGAGACAGUUCGGUCCCUAUCCGUCGUGGGCGUAGGAAAUUUGAGAGGAGCUGUCCUUAGUACGAGAGGACCGGGAUGGACAUACCUCUGGUGUACCAGUUGUCGUGCCAACGGCAUAGCUGGGUAGCUAUGUGUGGACGGGAUAAGUGCUGAAAGCAUCUAAGCAUGAAGCCCCCCUCAAGAUGAGAUUUCCC